RNAcentral lists this ribosomal RNA (792 nucleotides) under Triticum aestivum (bread wheat). RNAcentral describes it as "partial small subunit ribosomal RNA". Lineage: Eukaryota; Viridiplantae; Streptophyta; Magnoliopsida; Poales; Poaceae. The record is from RNAcentral.
AUGGUGCAAUAUCCGAGCUUGUACAGGAUUGUCAGACAUAAAUUUGUCACGAUCAAACAAGUUUUAGGACAAGAAAACCCUGAUAUUUCUUUCCGUAGGGAUCUUCUUGGCCCUUGCCUGGCAGCAUGGAAUGAAUUACUCACUCGCCUGGAGGACAUUCAACUGUCAGGUGAGCCGGACGUCUUUCGAUGGAACUUGCAUCAGAAUGGCAAAUUUUCACUCAAAUCCAUGUACGAUGCAAUGGUUCAUUGUGAUGUUCCAGUUGAUAACAGGAAAUUGUGGAAGCUCAAAAUUCCUCUAAGAGUGAAGAUUUUCCUCUGGUUUCUAAAUAGUGGAGUUAUCCUAACUAGAGAUAAUCUGGCACGACGAAACUGGCAUGGUUCUAAGACAUGUGUCUUUUGCCAAAAUGACGAGUCUAUUAGACACUUAUUUUUUGAGUGCAAGUUUGCUCGGGCAGUUUGGGCCAUAGUUCAAGUAGCUUCUAAUUUAUACCCACCACGUAGUGCACGGAACAUGUUCGGCAACUGGUUGCGGAGUAUUGAUAAACAAUUUUCUGCACAUAUUCUUGUGGGAGCGGCGGCCUUAUGCUGGGCACUGUGGCUUGCCAGGAAUGAUGUGAUCUUUAAUAAUAAAUGUGUCUCAUCUCCUAUGCAGGUUUAUUCAUGUUUGUACACGAUGGCUCCGUACUUGGUCUAUCCUGCAGAGGCCGGAGGACAGGGACCUUUUUAUGAUGGCGUCUACACGGCUGGAGCGUUCGGCCGGGGGUUUUCUACCCCAUUGAUGGCGGUGUGA